Molecule: ribosomal RNA, 200 nt
Filed under: uncultured bacterium
Lineage: Bacteria
Description: partial 16S ribosomal RNA
Rfam family: Bacterial small subunit ribosomal RNA
Source: RNAcentral
AGCGAACGCUGGCGGCAGGCCUAAUACAUGCAAGUCGAGCGGCCACUUCGGUGGCAGCGGCGGACGGGUGAGUAACGCGUGGGAAUAUGCCCUUUGGUACGGAACAACUGAGGGAAACUUCAGCUAAUACCGUAUGUGCCCUUCGGGGGGAAAGAUUUAUCGCCAUUGGAGUAGCCCGCGUUGGAUUAGGGUAGUUGGUG